UGGCAAGAUAUGUGUUGUACGGGUACGGGCAAGCCCGCCCCCUAACAACACUCCCCUUAUUCGCCUGCGGCUCAACGGCAUCUUGCUCUGCGAGGCA
This 97-nucleotide non-coding RNA is filed under the name Pseudomonas sp. 9Ag. Its description in RNAcentral is "traJ-II". It matches the Rfam family "traJ-II RNA". The record is from RNAcentral. Lineage: Bacteria; Pseudomonadati; Pseudomonadota; Gammaproteobacteria; Pseudomonadales; Pseudomonadaceae.